This is a long non-coding RNA of Brassica napus (rape), 505 nucleotides long. RefSeq lists it as uncharacterized. The record is from RefSeq and is a predicted model, not a curated record. Lineage: Eukaryota; Viridiplantae; Streptophyta; Magnoliopsida; Brassicales; Brassicaceae. The transcript is spliced from 3 exons.
UUUCAAGCUUUUAAAGUUUUAAAAUCUACUUUUGUAAUUGAUAUAUUAAAAUUUGUACUUUAAUCCAAACUCAAUAAAACGAGUUUAUACUCGACAUUUAGCGCCUCUCUUCUUUUAGACUUAAGCCUUAGCAACUCUCGACCUCAGUAAGUACCCUUUUAAAGGUUAAUACUUAGUGUCUGGAAGUAUCGAGUAGACUUCACAUCAUGUAUCACUUAAAGACAAUAUUCCCAUUCAAGUAUCAACCACGAUUCGAAGUGUCGGCAUCACUAAGAAAGAGAGACGUAUUGAAGCACUCAGCAUGCAUCUUCUACUAUGAAUACCACCUCUCUCAACAUGGUUUAUUUCCUUGUAUUUCUGCUUGGAACACCUACAGUAACAAUUUUUUUGCAGAAAGGUCUGGAGUUGCAUUGGAUGGGAGAUGGACCAGCUGGAACAAAAGAGGCAGAAAACAGUGCAAUUUGGUGAUUUUCAAGCAUAACAGUCUUGACCUGUUCCGGAUAGC